UGGCGGACGGGUGAGUAACGCGUAAGAAUCUACCUAUAGGUUCGGGACAACAGUUGGAAACGACUGCUAAUACCGGAUGUGCCUUCGGGUGAAAGUUUAAAUGCCUGUAGAUGAGCUUGCGUCCGAUUAGCUAGAUGGAGUGGUAACGGCACACCAUGGCGACGAUCGGUAACUGGUCUGAGAGGAUGACCAGUCACACUGGAACUGAGACACGGUCCAGACUCCUACGGGAGGCAGCAGUGGGGAAUUUUCCGCAAUGGGCGAAAGCCUGACGGAGCAAUACCGCGUGAGGGACGAAGGUCUGUGGAUUGUAAACCUCUUUUGUUAGGGAAGAUAAUGACGGUACCUAACGAAUAAGCAUCGGCUAACUCCGUGCCAGCAGCCGCGGUAAGACGGAGGAUGCAAGCGUUAUCCGGAAUUAUUGGGCGUAAAGCGUACGUAGGCGGUUUUAUAAGUCUGUUGUCAAAGCCCGAGGCUUAACCUUGGAAAGGCAAUGGAAACUGUAAGACUAGAGAGAGAUAGGGGCAGGAGGAAUUCCAGGUGUAGCGGUGAAAUGCGUAGAUAUCUGGAAGAACACCAGUGGCGAAAGCGUCCUGCUGGAUCUCAACUGACGCUGAAGUACGAAAGCUAGGGGAGCGAAUGGGAUUAGAUACCCC
This 656-nucleotide ribosomal RNA is filed under the name Pseudanabaenaceae cyanobacterium VUW26. RNAcentral's name for it is "bacterial SSU rRNA". It matches the Rfam family "Bacterial small subunit ribosomal RNA", at positions 96 to 788 of the family's 1533-position model. The record is from RNAcentral. Lineage: Bacteria; Bacillati; Cyanobacteriota; Cyanophyceae; Pseudanabaenales; Pseudanabaenaceae.